GACAGAGGGUGCAAACGUUGUUCGGAAUUACUGGGCGUAAAGCGCGUGUAGGCGGCUCGGCAAGUCGGAUGUGAAAGCCCUGGGCUUAACCUAGGAAGUGCAUUCGAAACUCCCGAGCUUGAGUUCUGGAGAGGAAGGCGGAAUUCUCGGUGUAGAGGUGAAAUUCGUAGAUAUCGAGAGGAACACCGGUGGCGAAGGCGGCCUUCUGGACAGUGACUGACGCUGAGACGCGAAAGCGUGGGGAGCAAACAGG
This 253-nucleotide ribosomal RNA is filed under the name uncultured bacterium. RNAcentral describes it as "partial 16S ribosomal RNA". It matches the Rfam family "Bacterial small subunit ribosomal RNA", at positions 524 to 776 of the family's 1533-position model. The record is from RNAcentral.